This 895-nucleotide ribosomal RNA is filed under the name Escherichia coli. RNAcentral's name for it is "partial 23S ribosomal RNA". It matches the Rfam family "Bacterial large subunit ribosomal RNA", at positions 877 to 1769 of the family's 2925-position model. Lineage: Bacteria; Pseudomonadati; Pseudomonadota; Gammaproteobacteria; Enterobacterales; Enterobacteriaceae. The record is from RNAcentral.
GCGCCUCGUGAAUUCAUCUCCGGGGGUAGAGCACUGUUUCGGCAAGGGGGUCAUCCCGACUUACCAACCCGAUGCAAACUGCGAAUACCGGAGAAUGUUAUCACGGGAGACACACGGCGGGUGCUAACGUCCGUCGUGAAGAGGGAAACAACCCAGACCGCCAGCUAAGGUCCCAAAGUCAUGGUUAAGUGGGAAACGAUGUGGGAAGGCCCAGACAGCCAGGAUGUUGGCUUAGAAGCAGCCAUCAUUUAAAGAAAGCGUAAUAGCUCACUGGUCGAGUCGGCCUGCGCGGAAGAUGUAACGGGGCUAAACCAUGCACCGAAGCUGCGGCAGCGACACUAUGUGUUGUUGGGUAGGGGAGCGUUCUGUAAGCCUGCGAAGGUGUGCUGUGAGGCAUGCUGGAGGUAUCAGAAGUGCGAAUGCUGACAUAAGUAACGAUAAAGCGGGUGAAAAGCCCGCUCGCCGGAAGACCAAGGGUUCCUGUCCAACGUUAAUCGGGGCAGGGUGAGUCGACCCCUAAGGCGAGGCCGAAAGGCGUAGUCGAUGGGAAACAGGUUAAUAUUCCUGUACUUGGUGUUACUGCGAAGGGGGGACGGAGAAGGCUAUGUUGGCCGGGCGACGGUUGUCCCGGUUUAAGCGUGUAGGCUGGUUUUCCAGGCAAAUCCGGAAAAUCAAGGCUGAGGCGUGAUGACGAGGCACUACGGUGCUGAAGCAACAAAUGCCCUGCUUCCAGGAAAAGCCUCUAAGCAUCAGGUAACAUCAAAUCGUACCCCAAACCGACACAGGUGGUCAGGUAGAGAAUACCAAGGCGCUUGAGAGAACUCGGGUGAAGGAACUAGGCAAAAUGGUGCCGUAACUUCGGGAGAAGGCACGCUGAUAUGUAGGUGAAGUCCCU